This 2283-nucleotide ribosomal RNA is filed under the name Triticum aestivum (bread wheat). Its description in RNAcentral is "partial small subunit ribosomal RNA". The record is from RNAcentral. Lineage: Eukaryota; Viridiplantae; Streptophyta; Magnoliopsida; Poales; Poaceae.
AUGUCGCUGCCGUCGCCGCCGCCGCCGUCGGGCCGCCCGCGCCGUGCGGCGUCGGCGCGUCCGGGGUCGUACGACGAGUCGCUGGUCGACACCGAGCUGCAGGCCUACCUUGGGAACUCCCCGUCGCGGCGCAUCCGGCGCCUGCGCCGCCUCUCCCCGGAGGAGCGCCAGCGCGAGACGGAGACAGAGGCGCUCAUUGCGCUCUCCCUGGGCUUCCCCAUCGACGCCCUCCUCCCCGCCGAGGAGGCCAUCCUCGCGGACGCCGAUGCCGCCGCCCCCAACGACUACAUCGUCGUCCGCAACCACAUCCUCGCCUCCUGGCGCGCCGACCCGCGGGUGCCGCUCCCCCGCGCGCGCGUGCUCGAGACCGUUGCCUCGAGCUACGACCACCUAGUCGCCGCCGCGCACGGCUUCCUCACCCGCGAGGGCCACGUCAACUUCGGCGUCUCCGCCGCCUUCCCCGCAUCCUCUCCCGCCGACGCGCUCCAGGCCCCAGCCGCUUCCGUCCUCGUCAUCGGUGCUGGCCUCGCCGGGCUCGCUGCCGCGCGGCAGCUUCUCCGCUUCGGCCUCCGCGUGCUCGUCCUGGAGGGCCGCGCCCGCCCUGGUGGCCGCGUUUACACCUCCCGCCUAGGCGGGGGCCAGGCCGCCGUCGAGCUCGGUGGGAGCGUCAUCACUGGCAUCCACGCCAACCCGCUAGGCGUGCUCGCCCGCCAGCUCGGGAUUCCUCUCCACAAGGUGCGUGACCGCUGCCCACUGUACCACACUGACGGCCGGACUGUGGGCACCAGGCUAGAUAGAAGUAUCGAUUUGGUGUUCAAUACGCUUCUUGACCACGCCACCAGGCUGCGGGAGGCUCUCAAGGAAGCCGCAGAGAGGAUCUCGCUGGGGGAAGGGAUCGAAAGGCUGAGAAGGUUGUACAAUGUGGCCAAAAGCGAGGAAGAGAGGGAGGUUCUGGACUGGCAUCUGGCAAACCUUGAGUUCUCCAAUGCUGGUUGCUUAUCGGAGCUCUCUCUGGCGCACUGGGACCAGGACGACCAGUUUGAGAUGGGUGGUGACCAUUGCUUCUUGGCUGGAGGGAAUUCGAGGCUGGUACACGCCUUAUGUGAUGGUGUACCAGUGUUGUAUGAGAAGACGGUGAAGCGGAUUGAGCAUGGAGUAGAUGGCGUGAGCAUCACAGUGGAAGGAGGGCAGGUUUUUCAGGCGGACAUGGCGCUCUGCACUGUUCCGCUUGGAGUGCUCAAGAGUGGGAGCAUUGUGUUUGACCCAGAGUUGCCUGAAAACAAGCUUGGGGCGAUUCAGAGGUUGGGGUUUGGUUUGUUGAACAAAGUGGCUAUGGUGUUCCCAUCUGUAUUUUGGGAUGAGGAAAUUGACACAUUUGGGUGUUUGAAUAAGGAGUCCAGCAAGCGUGGGGAAUUCUUUCUCUUCUACAGCUACCAUACCGUCUCUGGCGGUGCAGUACUUGUUGCACUUGUGGCGGGAGAGGCUGCUUUGGAGUUUGAAAAGGUUGAUCCUGUUGUUACACUUCAUCGAGUACUUGGUAUUCUUCGAGGUAUCUAUGGCCCAAAAGGCGUUACUGUGCCUGACCCCAUUCAAUCUGCUUGUACAAGAUGGGGUAGUGAUCCUCUCUGUUGCGGUUCAUACUCUCACAUCAGAGUUGGGUCUUCUGGAACGGACUAUGACAUUCUUGCUGAGAGUGUCAGUGAAGACCGGCUCUUCUUUGCUGGAGAAGCAACCAACCGUGCAUACCCUGCAACGAUGCAUGGUGCCUUAUUGAGCGGACUAAGAGAAGCUUCCAGAAUUCUCCGGGCUUCACAAAGCAGAGUGGAUUCCGAUCAUAAAAAGUAUGCUCUGCAGAAAAGCCUUAGACCUCCUGAUGGCAUCCUUGAAGAUCUUUUCACGGAGCCAGAUCUUGAAUUCAGCAGAUUCUCAUUCGUGUUCUCCUCCAUGACACCCGACGAUCCACAGUCUAUGGGCUUGCUCAGGAUUACACUUGAGAAUCCCCAUUUGGAAGGGGACCAAAAGGAUCAGGAGCCUGCAGCCGAGAAGGAGGCUCACCAGAAAGCUUUCCACUUAUAUGCCGCCAUCUCUCGAGAGCAGGCCAAUCAGCUGCAACUGGCAGGCGACGACGAUCGAGGUAGGUUAGAGUUGCUAUGCAAGGAUCUUAGUGUAAAGCUGAUGGGGUACGACAGUACAUGUGAUACAGGCAACUCUCUGAUUUUAAGCAUCCAAAGCGCUCAGAAAGCCAGGAAGAGGCUGCAGCGCCCGAAGGACUUCAAAUUCUGA